Non-coding RNA from Acanthosepion pharaonis, 89 nucleotides. The record is from the annotation of a GenBank genome assembly. Lineage: Eukaryota; Metazoa; Mollusca; Cephalopoda; Sepiida; Sepiidae.
UUACGGACAUAUCACGUUGGAACACCGGUUCCCAUACGUUCGCCGAAGUUAAGCCAUGUCGAGCCUGGUCAGUACAUAGAUGAGUGAUU